UGUAGCUCAGUGGUAGAGUGCUUGCCUAGCAUGAGCAGGAACCUGGGUUCAAUUCCUAGCA
Molecule: transfer RNA, 61 nt
Filed under: Ictidomys tridecemlineatus (thirteen-lined ground squirrel)
Lineage: Eukaryota; Metazoa; Chordata; Mammalia; Rodentia; Sciuridae
Also listed under: 1 other name
Description: Spermophilus tridecemlineatus (thirteen-lined ground squirrel) tRNA
Rfam family: tRNA
About the family: Transfer RNA (tRNA) molecules are approximately 80 nucleotides in length. Their secondary structure includes four short double-helical elements and three loops (D, anti-codon, and T loops). Further hydrogen bonds mediate the characteristic L-shaped molecular structure. tRNAs have two regions of fundamental functional importance: the anti-codon, which is responsible for specific mRNA codon recognition, and the 3' end, to which the tRNAs corresponding amino acid is attached (by aminoacyl-tRNA synthetases). tRNAs cope with the degeneracy of the genetic code in two manners: having more than one tRNA (with a specific anti-codon) for a particular amino acid; and 'wobble' base-pairing, i.e. permitting non-standard base-pairing at the 3rd anti-codon position.
Source: Rfam by way of RNAcentral